AGAGAGAGACAGAGAGACAGAGAGAGAGAGAGAGAGACAGAGAGACAGAGAGAGUGAGAGAGACAGAGAGACACAGAGAGAAAGAGCGAGAGAGAAAGAGCGAGAGAAGAGCGAGAGAGAGAGAGAGACACACAGGGAGAAAGAGAGAUAGACGCACAGAGAGACACACACACAGAGAAAGAGAGCGCGAGAGACACAGAGAGAGAGACACACAGACAGAGAGAGACUCACACAGAGAGAGACACACACACACAGAGACACAGAGAGAGACAUAGAGAGACACAGAGAUACAGAAAGAGAGACAGAGACACAGAGUGAGAGACACACAGAGAGAGACAGAGAGAGACACAGAGAUACAUAGAGAGAGACACACCCAGAGAGAGACAGAUAGAGAGACACAGAGGGAGACACACAGAGAGAGACAUAGAGAGACACAGAGAUACAGAAAGAGAGACAGAGACACAGAGAGAGACAGAGAGAGAGACACAGGGAUACAUAGAGAGAGAGACACACAGAGAGAGACAGAGAGAGAGACACAGAGAGAGAGACAUAGAGAGACACAGAGAUACAGAAAGAGAGACAGAGACACAGAGAGAGACAGAGAGAGAGACACAGGGAUACAUAGAGAGAGACACACACAGAGAGAGACAGAGAGAGAGACACACAGAGAGAGACAUAGAGAGACACAGAGAUACAGAAAGAGAGACAGAGACACAGAGAGGGAGAACAGACACAGAGUGAGAGACACACAGAGAGAGACAGAGAGAGAGACACAGAGAUACAUAGAGAGAGACACACAGAGAGAGAUAGAUAGAGAGACACAGAGAGAGAGAGACAGAGAGAGAGACACACAGAGAUACAGAGAGAGAGACACACACAUAGAGAUACAGAGAGAGAGAGACACAGAGAGACACACAGAGAUACAUAGAGAGAGAGAUACACAGAGAGAGACAGAUAGAGAGACACAGAGAGAGAGACAGAGAGAGAGACACACAGAGAUACAUAGAGAGAGAGACACACACAGAGAGAUACAGAGAGAGAGAGACAGAGAGAGACACACAGAGAUACAUAGAGAGAGAGACACACACAGAGAGAUACAGAGAGAGAGAGACAGAGAGAGAGACAGAGAGAAAGGGGUGGGGGGACCGCAGUGCAAUCACUUAGCAUAACCUGUGAUCAAUAUAUUUACCACAGUGCUGUUCCUGAAUACGAUUGGUCAGAAGGGAUUUCUACUGCACAUAAACAUAUAUAUAUAUAAAAAAAAAGUGUGUAACUGUAGAUAUGGAAACGUUUUCUGUAAAGAGAUGUUUAAUAUUUAUGGAAGGAGUCUCCAGUGUCAGCGCUUUGUAACAGUCAGAGGUAAAGCUGUAAUUAAGCUUCGCAUCAUUCCAUCUCAAGUGGUCCAAUAAUUACAAAGUUGGCUGUUGACAGUUAUUUAUUUAUUUAUUUAUUUAUUGAGAAAAAAAAAAAACAUAAACCUCAAUAUCUCGGCUUAGGACGGGCCUGACUCCUUGGAACGAAACCUGAUCUCUAUAGCACAUUACAAAGGACCUGCAUAUAUAUAAACAUUUUGCCCAUUCGUGCUCCUUAGACUUACAACUUAAGUCCGAUCGUAAUGCUCAAGAUUGCUCACAGUUCCACUUUUAGGGUCAGUUUAUAUCGGGAAGCGUCCGAGUCUCGGAAUUAUAAGUAUAAAGAUGGCCGUCAUGGUUAAACCCAGUAAAAUAAAAUAAAAACAAGUGGUGAUUUUACAAUGCCAAUACACAGAGGUAAUCAAUUGGACCACUCGAGAUGGAACGACCCUUUUCUGACAUGUGAAAAGUCUUUCACGUGUACUUUCUGGUUUCUCGAUAGAAGUUGCCUUUUUUUAUCCCACGAACUUCAAUAGAGAGUAAAAAAAGAGACGCUGUUGAGGGAACGAUUGUUUACUGCUGCUAUGCUGUAGACCUUAAAAGGAACUUUAAAUUGAUCAAAUGCGUCGCUCUUCAGAAAACAGCAAUUGUACUCAGUAUAUGAGGAAUAAAACACUUGUUUUAGGAAAAUAAUCAACUUUAGGAUGACAACCGUAGCUCCGCAUCGCGUCCGCUUACAUCACACCAACCUAAAGCUGAUUAUUUCCCUGCAACAGAACACUUCAUCUGCUUGGUUGGGGCUGUAUGAUGGCUGCCAGGCAUGGUGUAAUGGAGUAUUUCCCCAAUCGUCUUCUUCUCCUCCUGUUCUCAAUGACAGUCUAACAGAAGUUGAAAUUUUCCCAAGUUAUCAACCAAACACACACUCAUUCACUCACUCACACACCCACACCCACACACACCCUGUCCUCAUUUCUUCUUUCUGUCACUUAUUUAAUUACUGUCUCGCUCCGGUUUCUCCGAUGACACCUUUUCCCUCCUUCCUGUUCAUAUCUUUCCAAGAAACUUUGAUCCAAACUAGGAAAAGAAACCUCUUUUUGAGGUUUAAAAAAAAAAAAAACCCUGAAAUACAUCAGAAAAACAUCACAUUGAGUGAGAGGUGUUGUUUUCGGCACGAUCAGUCAUGCCAGCACUCUGUGACUUGGCGAAUCACUGGCUGGGAAGUUGGAAAUUUUCAAAGUCGCUGUAGAACUGAUACGAUAGGAAGAUGACUUGUUGUCUGAAAGUUCCAGUGAGAUCCUAAACAGAAAGAUGAAGCCAGAAUCCUUAGUAAUUACUACCUACACUGCCUGGCUGAUCAUUGCCAUCUAUAAACAAUAUAUAAAGUUCUAAAUGUUUACAGUUAUGGCAUUUGGUAGACACCCUUAUCCAGAACAACUUACAUUUAUCUCAUUUUUAUACAACUGAGCAGUUGAGAGUUAAGGGCCUUGCUCGAAGGCCCAGCAGUGACAGCUUGGUGGGAUUUGAACUCAUGACCUUCCAAUGAGUAGUCCAAUGUCUUAAACACUGAGCUACCACUGUCCUUCUUGCACGUUCCCAACAGUUUGGUACUGGUUCUUUAUUAGUACCUAGAAUAAUAAAAGACUAGGCAAGCCUAGCUUAGCUGGACCGCCACCUGCCUAGGAAAUUCGAGAAGUUGUUUCUAUCACCGUAGCAACCAUGGCAAAACUGUAGCCCUUACAAAGCACCUGAGACAAAUCAGUUUUCUUGGAUAUCUUGGAUACGUCCAUUUACAAAAUCUUCUUUUUCAAAUUUCUCCCCCUUACAUUGCUUAAAUCACUUAUUGCUCGGUAAUGGGCAUUCUUUUAAAACAUAUUUUAAGUUACUGCUGGUUGCCAUGGUUUCCUUAGUAACACCAAGCUAGAACAAUAUGGCCACGUACCACGCUAGCCUGGUUACACACGAUUGUCUACCAUCUAGAUGCUAAAACAUAUGUAAAGCCAGGCAUUUCAAAAUCAGUAGACCUCUGGACGGAAAUGCUUGCGUUAGAAUGAGCUGAAGAACUAUUGCGCAUUGCGAUCUGCCACAUAAUGUACAGAAACACGGAAUUGUACCACCAACCACCGCAGCCGUUUGCUUAAAGUUCCACAUUGUGUCAGCACUGGUUAUAACGUUGCUCUUGGUGUUAAUGCAGUGUAAGAUCUACUCAUCCAUGGUAGUGCUGAAACUUCCUGGAACACUUUCGAGUUUAUUUACAGAUUGUUGUAUAACGCCACCUACACUUUGGAUGUCCUCUUUAUGUUUCAACAACAGGCUGUCAAUCAGAAAAUGCGCCUUCUAGCAUAGCGAUCGCAGCAGGUUGCAGAGCUGUUUCCUAGGAAUAACCUUCCUGUCUCAACAGCAGUGUUUUUAGUUGAGAUAAUCCUUCGUAAAGUUCCAGGUGCGGGAGUCCCUGAGUGCAUUAUGAUUACCAUUUACACCCUGUUUAAAGGAGUUUACUCUCUCAUCACACUUAACAAUCUGUUCUUUCUGCCUGUCUCUUGUCUUGGCGCCUGAUGUGAUCCUAGUGCAAGCCCACUGCUGUGGAUCCUCCUGCUCCUCCAUUUUCGAGCCAUUUGCAUGUGCAAUUAAUAAUCUUACCUGAAUGCCCCAAAGACUGUUCAGAAAACUUUUACCCAUUAUCAUCUCACACAUACUGUAACAUCUCAUAUAUCUCCUCUACAGUCUCAUUUAAUGUGGUGACAGUACACAACCAGAAGGACCAAGGGCAAGGCAAUAUAAUAUUGGCACUCACUGAUGCAAUCUGAGGCAACAUUGUUGAAUUCUUAAUGCUGAUUGGUCAGAAGAUGGAUCUGACAGUAGUUCCGGGUGCAAAUCAAAUUACAGGUUUAUAUUAAUGUGCUCGUUCUAAUACAGUAUGGUUUCUAUGGUAACGGCAUUCACAGAGACUAGCAUGGAAGUCGUUCUACGUGAACAGAUUUUUUUUCUUUAACAGUGUGUAAUCGUUGAAUGGUGACGUUUUCUACGAAGAGACGUUUAUUCAGCACUUAUGCAAGGAAUAUCCAGUGCCAGCACUUUAUACAGUAACAUCCAUCAACCCAUCCAUUCAUUUUCCAUACCACUUAUCCUACAUAGGGUCAAGUGGGAGCCUGGAGCCUAUUCCAGAGAACUCGGGGCACAAGGCAGGGGACACCCUGGGCAGGGCACAAUCAAACACUACAGACAAUUUGGAAAUGCCAAUCAGCCCUGGAGGUCUUUGGACUCGGGAGGGAAACUGGAGUACCCAGAGGAAACCCCCGAAGCACGGGGAGAACAUGCAAACUUCACGCAUAAAUGGCGGAGGCAGGAUUCGAACCCCAAACCGCGGAGGUGUGAGGCAAACCUGCUAACCACAUAGCAUUUCCAUGUCUCAAAGCUGCUUUACAGAAACAUAUAAACACAGGAUGGAGAUUUUAAAUGUGUGAAUUUAUCCCUUUUGAGCGAGCCGGUGGUGCCGGUGGUGAGGGAAAAACUCCCUGAGAUGAUAUGAGGAAGAAACCUUGAAAGGAACCGGACUCAGACGGGAACCCGUCCUCAUCUGGGUAACAACGGAUAGUGUGAAAUUAAAAGAAAGUUCAUUAUGGGUUUAUGAAGUCUGGUUGUUGAACUAGUCCACUGUUCACUAAAGGAGAGUGUAAAACUGCAUGUGGUAAUCGCAGUCCCAAGGCCAUCGCUGCAACCACAGCGAGAACGUCCAUGUGGAAUUGAGGUCCAAAACUAUCUCCAUGGUACUUCAAGCGGUACCGUCCUAAUCAAUCUCCAGGCUGUAGCCUCCAGUUGAUGAGAGCUCCAUCCAGACGUAGGGCAUCAGGAUGGAUCAGGCAGGUCCGGAGAGCAGAAAGGGUCAGGAUCACUGGCACCUCCAUAAAAUCAUAUGUGGCUCGACAGAAUUCGAGAAGGACAGGGAGGUCAAGAGAGGGAGAGAUUUACAUGUAACACUGUAUCACCUCAGUACUGCAAGUUAUUAUCACAAAUCCAGCUAUUUGUUGUCGUUUAGUGUCUGUUUCCCUGCAAGGUUUCUUCUUGAUGCCAUCACGGAAGAGUUUCUUCCUUUCAUCUUUGGUUGUUCGUUAGAAGUCGAAAUCCAUAUUUCUGUAAAGCUGCUUUGUGACAGUGUUAGAAAAUUAAACGUGCUAUUGAAUUUCGGGUCUCUUUCAUGUGUUACAUCAAAAAUUCACUACAGUCAUAUAGUGAUAUCGCCGUAGAUUUAUUUCUUCUGUAUUGUCCACAUCAAAUACCUUGAUUCCUGUGACUUUCAAGACGCCACGGUUACGACGUUACGACCAGGGAGCUGGCUUCUGUGUCCUUCAGGGCUGAUUGUAAUUGGUAUUUUACUCCUUGGGCCAUUAAAAAAAAACACACACACACCACAUUGUACGUAAUUGCUUUACAGUACCUCAUUGUUUGUGCCCCCAUGGCUUCAAGAACAAUAUUCCUUUUAGUUUUUUGAGCAGGAAAGACUAUCUAAAUAAAGUUUCAAAGACUUUUAGAUCAUUUCGAUCCAUACCAGUUUCUUGAAACGCUGUUUUAGAUGCUUUUCCCUGAUACAGACGACUGAAAAAAAGCUUCUGAACUGCAAUUUUACUGGCUUCUGGCUUCUAAUCGAUUUGCAAGGUUGUUUUUUUUUAUUGAUUUAUUUAUUUAUUUAGAUUUGUCCAAUCAACACUCCUGUCCCUCGAGCACUUCCCAAAGGAAAUGUAAGUUGUCCUGUGUUUAAAGACGUAGUUAUACAGUAUGUUUACCACAGUGGUGUUUGAUUCUUGAUUCUGAUUGGUCCGACGUUGCGAAUAUGCUCAUUCUAAUGUGCUACUGUUUCCAUAGUAACAACUUAGACAGGGACUUGUUUUUGGCAGGCGUUCGAUAUUGAUGUAUUUAAAAAUGCGAUGAAACAGGGGAAGGUGAAAUUCCCUGUAAGGAGAUUACACCACCCCAACGUGUUUUUAUUCUCCGCAUGCGUAUAUAAUCAUCUGUGCGCAGAGUGAAAUGCAGGACCGGACUAUCGGUAAAUCAGUUUUGCUGAAAUUGUCAGGAAGCUCUUCCUUCAUUUCACCCUGGCAAAAACAACAGGAAUAAUGCCUGAACAGAAGAACAGGGGAGGGCAGUGGGAGGGAGCGCGGUGUCAGGCCGAGCGAGAGAGGGAAAUUAGGCUGAUUACCAUUUCAGCGCACACACACUUUCAGAAAUGUCAACACUAAAAGUUUAGAGUCAAUAGAAUUUAAUUUAAAAGAGGUUGCCAAGUCCUGCUUUCGCACAGAAAUGGGAUACCUUUGUAGUAUUGCCGUAGGCUGUUUUGUUUUUUCCUUAUGUCAAUUUUCAGGAAACACAAUACGCUCACGUAGGUGCACUAUAAACACUAUACGCUCACGUAGGUGCACUAUAAACACUAUACGCUCACGUAGGUGCACUAUAAACACUAUACGCUCACGUAGGUGCACUAUAAACACUAUACGCUCACGUAGGUGCAGUAUAAACACUAUACGCUCACGUAGGUGCAGUAUAAACACUAUACGCUCACGUAGGUGCACUAUAAACACUAUACGCUCACGUAGGUGCAGUAUAAACACUAUACGCUCACGUAGGUGCACUAUAAACACUAUACGCUCACGUAGGUGCGCUAUAAACACUAUACGCUCACGUAGGUGCACUAUAAACACUAUACGCUCAUGUAGGUGCACUAUAAACACUAUACGCUCACGUAGGUGCACUAUAAACACUAUACGCUCACGUAGGUGCACUAUAAACACUAUACGCUCACGUAGGUGCACUAUAAACACUGCCAGAGGUCUAUUUUGCAUUGAAUCAGCACACACACACGCUUCAAACAUUCUUACUGAUGGGUAUUAAAAACUUACAGUCGCAUUAGAUAGGCGAGAGACCAGCACACUGUCUGAAUUACAGGAGGUGACUAUGGGGGUCAUUCGUUCCGUGGGGCAGUUUAUAAAAUGCCACUGAUGUUAAAUGUUUCACUUCCUCCCUCCCUUACGCUUAUUAAACCUCAGCCAUCGCUUCAGGACACAAAAAGUCAGACUGCCAGAGAGAUGAUGACUUUCUCUCUUCUUCUUUCCCGCGUCUCUCUCCAAAUCCUCUCCGUGACCCGGCCAGUGACUCUCUAAUCGACUCCUGACUGCUUUCCAGUCCAUUUGCAUUCUCUCUGACUCGACACAGAGGCUGUACUAAAGUCUAUGAAGACCCACACUCAGACGUUGUGCCAAGUCGAAUGAAAAUGUGAACUUUCUGAGCGGUUUUGAGGCGACGUGACGCCCGUCUGCUGUAAAUAAGACUCUGAGCGUAAUUAUGUAGUCGUUAAUGAAAAAUGAUGCGUAGAUAACAGUCGAUUAUGCGAGUACAGAAGAGUGGAGCAGAUUUACUUGUAUCAAAUCCGGCAGCAAAAGGAUGCCAGAGCCAGAGGUGAUAUAAAUCAGGGAAAGGCCAAGAUGAAAUUGUAAAGGGGUGCAAAAUUACUAAUAGGACCAGAGAGGCAAGCUGGGAUUUGACCCAGGAAUUUUGGAGUGACUUGUUCAUGAACUUAUCACUUUGUAGGGUUGGCCACAUGACUCCACCUAACUCCACCUGACUCCACAUGACACCCCAUGACUCCCCAUGACCACUUAACUCCACAUGACUCUACAUGACUCCCCAUGACUCUACAUGACUCCACCUGACUCUACAUGUCUCCCCAUGACUCCCCAUGACUCCACCUGACUCCACAUGACUCCACAUGUCUCCACAUGUCCCUACAUGACUCCACCUGACUCCACAUGACUCCACAUGACUCCACAUGUCUCCACAUGUCCCUACAUGACUCCACCUGACUCCACAUGACUCCCCAUGUCUCCCCAUGACUCCACCUGACUCCACAUGACUCCACAUGACUCC
This is a long non-coding RNA of Ictalurus punctatus (channel catfish), 8264 nucleotides long. Lineage: Eukaryota; Metazoa; Chordata; Actinopteri; Siluriformes; Ictaluridae. The record is from Ensembl.